Molecule: long non-coding RNA, 551 nt
Filed under: Delphinapterus leucas (beluga whale)
Lineage: Eukaryota; Metazoa; Chordata; Mammalia; Artiodactyla; Monodontidae
Description: lncRNA (ENSDLEG00000008932.1)
Source: RNAcentral
GCCUCCCGCCACCCGCUUUGGUCUCUCUGCCCCUCACUUCCUGUUUCCGUUGCCCUUCGCGCCCCCACCCCACUCCGCCCCAAAUUCCCGUGGCUCGCUCAGUCUCGGACCUCCCGGCUGAGGAGUCAGCCUCGGCGUCAGACUCGCCGGCCCGAGGGCACCUCACUCCACGCUUGGCGUUUCUCGUUUGCUGCCCGUCGUCCCUUUCACCCUCAGUACGACGGACGCAGGGGGUACCCUCCAGCCCAGCGGCUGCCCGGAGCGACACUUCCUCACUCUCCUCGUUCUCGCCAGCCCUACCCGACCCGGUGGCCCUUCUGCCUCUCCCCCCGCCCUCUGGCUUCACUCUGGAGCCGCCUGCGGGCCUUGGUCCCCGGUCUCUCCUCUCCUAGGGCCCCAGUCCACACCACGGCCCACCCUCUCCGCCGUUCCGCUUCUCACGCUCCUCCUCGGACCCCUCUCUGCUGCCAGUGCUCUGUCGCCCUCCUCUGCCCCCGAGACGCUGAACUUCGCAGGCUGCCUGUUUCUUUAGAUGGCACCAUGCUUCUUGG